This 484-nucleotide ribosomal RNA is filed under the name uncultured bacterium. Its description in RNAcentral is "bacterial SSU rRNA". It matches the Rfam family "Bacterial small subunit ribosomal RNA", at positions 43 to 524 of the family's 1533-position model. The record is from RNAcentral.
CAGGCCUAACACAUGCAAGUCGAACGGACGAUCCCGUCGCAGCGGACUGAGGAUUCGUCUGACGUCCAAAGCGUGGGCAGGUUAGUGGCGCACGGGUGAGUAACACGUAGGUGACCUGCCCCGAAGGGGGGAUAACUACUGGAAACGGUAGCUAAUACCCCAUGUGGUCGGCGAUCGUUUCGCUGAUUAAAGCUCCGGCGCUUCGGGAGGGGCCUGCGGCCGAUAGCUAGUUGGUGGGGUAAUGGCUCACCAAGGCGAUAAUCGGUAGCUGGUUGAGAGGACGAUCAGCCACACUGGCACUGACACACGGGCCAGACUCCUAGGGAGGCAGCAGUGAGGAAUAUUGCGCAAUGGGCGAAAGCCUGACGCAGAACGCCGUGUGGGCGAUGAAGGCCUUCGGGUUGUAAAGCCCUUUUCUGGGGAAGAGGAAGGACGGUACCCCAGGAAUAAGUCUCGGCUAACUACGUGCAGCAGCCGCGGUAAU